AGCGAACGUUUGCGGCGGGCUUAACACAUGCAAGUCGAACGGGCUGUUCCUUCGGGGGCAGUCAGUGGCGCACGGGUGCGUAACACGUAGGUAAUCAACCCUCUGGUUGGGGAUAACACUUCGAAAGGAGUGCUAAUACCCGGUAUGGCGCAGCGGUCUUCGGAUCGCGGCGAGAAAGACCCGCAAGGGUUGCCAGAGGACGAGCCUGCGGCCCAUCAGCUAGUUGGCGAGGUAACGGCUCACCAAGGCGAAGACGGGUAGCUGGUCUGAGAGGAUGAUCAGCCACACUGGAACUGAGACACGGUUCAGACUCCUACGGGAGGCAGCAGUGGGGAAUAUUGCGCAAUGGGCGAAAGCCUGACGCAGCCACGCCGCGUGAGCGAUGAAGGCC
This 391-nucleotide ribosomal RNA is filed under the name uncultured bacterium. Its description in RNAcentral is "bacterial SSU rRNA". It matches the Rfam family "Bacterial small subunit ribosomal RNA", at positions 29 to 416 of the family's 1533-position model. The record is from RNAcentral.